Molecule: ribosomal RNA, 689 nt
Filed under: uncultured Roseateles sp.
Lineage: Bacteria; Pseudomonadati; Pseudomonadota; Betaproteobacteria; Burkholderiales; Sphaerotilaceae
Description: bacterial SSU rRNA
Rfam family: Bacterial small subunit ribosomal RNA
Source: RNAcentral
GGGUGAGUAAUGUAUCGGAACGUGCCCAGUCGUGGGGGAUAACUGCUCGAAAGAGCAGCUAAUACCGCAUACGACCUGAGGGUGAAAGCGGGGGAUCGCAAGACCUCGCGCGAUUGGAGCGGCCGAUAUCAGAUUAGGUAGUUGGUGAGGUAAAGGCUCACCAAGCCGACGAUCUGUAGCUGGUCUGAGAGGACGACCAGCCACACUGGGACUGAGACACGGCCCAGACUCCUACGGGAGGCAGCAGUGGGGAAUUUUGGACAAUGGGCGCAAGCCUGAUCCAGCCAUGCCGCGUGCGGGAAGAAGGCCUUCGGGUUGUAAACCGCUUUUGUCAGGGAAGAAAAGGUUCUGGCUAAUACCUGGGACUCAUGACGGUACCUGAAGAAUAAGCACCGGCUAACUACGUGCCAGCAGCCGCGGUAAUCCGUAGGGUGCAAGCGUUAAUCGGAAUUACUGGGCGUAAAGCGUGCGCAGGCGGUUAUGCAAGACAGAGGUGAAAUCCCCGGGCUCAACCUGGGAACUGCCUUUGUGACUGCAUGGCUAGAGUACGGUAGAGGGGGAUGGAAUUCCGCGUGUAGCAGUGAAAUGCGUAGAUAUGCGGAGGAACACCGAUGGCGAAGGCAAUCCCCUGGACCUGUACUGACGCUCAUGCACGAAAGCGUGGGGAGCAAACAGGAUUAGAUACCCUG